AUACGGAGGGUGCAAGCGUUAUGCGGAAUCACUGGGCGUAAAGGACGCGUAGGCGGGUUGGCAAGUCAGAUGUGAAAUCCUACAGCUUAACUGUAGAACUGCAUUUGAAACUGCUAACCUAGAGUAUGGGAGGGGGAGAUGGAAUUAGUGGUGUAGGGGUAAAAUCCGUAGAUAUCACUAGGAAUACCGAAAGCGAAGGCGAUCUCCUGGAACAUAACUGACGCUAAGGCGUGAAAGCGUGGGGAGCAAACAGGAUUAGAAACCCUAGUAGUCC
RNAcentral lists this ribosomal RNA (274 nucleotides) under uncultured bacterium. RNAcentral describes it as "partial 16S ribosomal RNA". It matches the Rfam family "Bacterial small subunit ribosomal RNA", at positions 523 to 796 of the family's 1533-position model. The record is from RNAcentral.